UCUAAUCCUUGCUGUCUGGGUGCUAGUGCUGUCUCAAUGCAAUGCACCUGGGCAAGGAUUCAGAGAGGGAGAGCU
This 75-nucleotide microRNA precursor is filed under the name Saimiri boliviensis boliviensis (Bolivian squirrel monkey). Its description in RNAcentral is "microRNA 502 (ENSSBOG00000013109.1)". It matches the Rfam family "mir-500 microRNA precursor family", at positions 11 to 84 of the family's 84-position model. Lineage: Eukaryota; Metazoa; Chordata; Mammalia; Primates; Cebidae. The record is from RNAcentral.